This 336-nucleotide unclassified non-coding RNA is filed under the name soil metagenome. RNAcentral's name for it is "partial contains 5.8S ribosomal RNA, internal transcribed spacer 2, and large subunit ribosomal RNA". The stretch from base 1 to 120 matches the Rfam family "5.8S ribosomal RNA", at positions 35 to 154 of the family's 154-position model. The record is from RNAcentral.
GAUGAAGAACGCAGUGAAAUGCGAUAAGUAGUGUGAAUUGCAGAAUUCAGUGAAUCAUCGAAUCUUUGAACGCACAUUGCGCCCCAUGGUAUUCCGUGGGGCAUGCCUGUUCGAGCGUCAUUUACCCCCUCAAGCUCCGCUUGGUGUUGGGCGUCUGUCCCGCUUCGCGCGCGGACUCGCCCCAAAGGUAUUGGCAGCGGUCGUGCCAGCUUCUCGCGCAGCACAUUGCGCUUCUCGAGGCACCGGCGGGCCCGCGUCCAUCAAGCUCACCCCCCAGUUUGACCUCGGAUCAGGUAGGGAUACCCGCUGAACUUAAGCAUAUCAAUAAGCGGAGGA